GCUCGUAUGGUGUAAUGGUUAGCACUCAAGACUCUGAAUCUUGCGAUCCGGGUUCAAAUCCCGGUAUGAGCU
Molecule: transfer RNA, 72 nt
Filed under: Hucho hucho (huchen)
Lineage: Eukaryota; Metazoa; Chordata; Actinopteri; Salmoniformes; Salmonidae
Also listed under: 1 other name
Rfam family: tRNA
About the family: Transfer RNA (tRNA) molecules are approximately 80 nucleotides in length. Their secondary structure includes four short double-helical elements and three loops (D, anti-codon, and T loops).
Source: Rfam by way of RNAcentral